UACGUAGGGUGCAAGCGUUAAUCGGAAUUACUGGGCGUAAAGCGUGCGCAGGCGGUUUUGUAAGUCUGACGUGAAAUCCCCGGGCUCAACCUGGGAAUUGCGUUGGAGACUGCAAGGCUAGAGUGUGUCAGAGGGGAGUAGAAUUCCACGUGUAGCAGUGAAAUGCGUAGAGAUGUGGAGGAACACCGAUGGCGAAGGCAGCCCCCUGGGUCAAGAUUGACGCUCAUGCACGAAAGCGUGGGGAGCAAACAGG
Molecule: ribosomal RNA, 253 nt
Filed under: uncultured bacterium
Lineage: Bacteria
Description: partial 16S ribosomal RNA
Rfam family: Bacterial small subunit ribosomal RNA
Source: RNAcentral